RNAcentral lists this ribosomal RNA (253 nucleotides) under uncultured bacterium. RNAcentral describes it as "partial 16S ribosomal RNA". It matches the Rfam family "Bacterial small subunit ribosomal RNA", at positions 524 to 776 of the family's 1533-position model. The record is from RNAcentral.
GACGUAGGGCGCGAGCGUUGUCCGGAAUUACUGGGCGCAAAGAGCUCGUAGGUGGUUUGUCGCGUUGUUCGUGAAAUCUCACGGCUUAACUGUGAGCGUGCGGGCGAUACGGGCAGACUGGAGUACUGCAGGGGAGACUGGAAUUCCUGGUGUAGCGGUGAAAUGCGCAGAUAUCAGGAGGAACACCGGUGGCGAAGGCGGGUCUCUGGGCCGAUAUCGACGCUGAGGAGCGAAAGCGUGGGGAGCGAACAGG